UUAUGACCUGGGCUACAAACGUGAUACAAUGGCUGUGACAAAGAGUAGCUGAAACGCGAGUUUUUAGCCAAUCUCAAAAAAGCAGUCUCAGUUCGGAUUGAAGCCUGUAACUCGACUUCAUGAAGUUGGAAUCGCUAGUAAUCGCGAAUCAGCAUGUCGCGGUGAAUACGUUCUCGGGGUUUGUACACACCGCCCGUCAGACCACGAAAGUUGGCAAUACCCAAAGCCGGUGGCCUAACUUGAGCAAUCAAGAAGGAGCCGUCUAAGGUAGGGUUGAUGAUUGGGGUUAAGUCGUAACAAGGUAUCCCUACCGGAAGGUGGGGAUGGAUCACCUCCUUU
RNAcentral lists this ribosomal RNA (339 nucleotides) under Iranian plum phytoplasma PJ15 II. RNAcentral describes it as "bacterial SSU rRNA". It matches the Rfam family "Bacterial small subunit ribosomal RNA", at positions 1202 to 1533 of the family's 1533-position model. Lineage: Bacteria; Bacillati; Mycoplasmatota; Mollicutes; Acholeplasmatales; Acholeplasmataceae. The record is from RNAcentral.